RNAcentral lists this non-coding RNA (18 nucleotides) under Arabidopsis thaliana (thale cress). Lineage: Eukaryota; Viridiplantae; Streptophyta; Magnoliopsida; Brassicales; Brassicaceae. The record is from RNAcentral.
UAAGAAACUCGCAGUGUA